UACGUAGGGUGCGAGCGUUGUCCGGAAUUACUGGGCGUAAAGAGCUCGUAGGUGGUUUGUCGCGUUGUUCGUGAAAACUCACAGCUCAACUGUGGGCCUGCAGCCGAUACGGGCAAGCUAGAAUUCGGUAGGGGAGACUGGAAUUCCUGGUGUAGCGGUGAAAUGCGCAGAUAUCGAGGAGGAACGAACCGGCUGGCGAAGGCGGGAUCGUCAUCGGGCCGGCAUAUUGACGCUCAUGCACGAAAGCGUGGGGAGCAAACAGG
This 263-nucleotide ribosomal RNA is filed under the name uncultured bacterium. Its description in RNAcentral is "partial 16S ribosomal RNA". It matches the Rfam family "Bacterial small subunit ribosomal RNA", at positions 524 to 776 of the family's 1533-position model. The record is from RNAcentral.